UACGUAUGGUGCAAGCGUUAUCCGGAUUUACUGGGUGUAAAGGGAGCGCAGGCGGCACGGCAAGCCUGAUGUGAAAGCCCGCGGCCCAACCGCGGGACUGCAUUGGGAACUACCGGGCUGGAGUGCCGGAGAGGUAGGCGGAAUUCCUAGUGUAGCGGUGAAAUGCGUAGAUAUUAGGAGGAACACCGGUGGCGAAAGCGGCUCUCUAGCCUGUAACUGACACUGAGGCUCGAAAGCGUGGGGAGCAAACAGG
Molecule: ribosomal RNA, 253 nt
Filed under: uncultured bacterium
Lineage: Bacteria
Description: partial 16S ribosomal RNA
Rfam family: Bacterial small subunit ribosomal RNA
Source: RNAcentral